UGGGGAAUUUUYCGCAAUGGGCGAAAGCCUGACGGAGCAACGCCGCGUGAGGGAUGAAGGCCUCUGGGCUGUAAACCUCUUUUAUCAAGGAAGAAGAUCUGACGGUACUUGAUGAAUAAGCCACGGCUAAUUCCGUGCCAGCAGCCGCGGUAAUACGGGAGUGGCAAGCGUUAUCCGGAAUUAUUGGGCGUAAAGCGUCCGCAGGCGGCCCUACAAGUCUGCUGUUAAAAAGUGGAGCUUAACUCCAUCAUGGCAGUGGAAACUGUUGGGCUCGAGUGUGGUAGGGGCAGAGGGAAUUCCCGGUGUAGCGGUGAAAUGCGUAGAUAUCGGGAAGAACACCAGUGGCGAAGGCGCUCUGCUGGGCCAUCACUGACGCUCAUGGACGAAAGCCAGGGGAGCGAAAGGGAUUAGAUACCCCUGUAGUCCUGGCCGUAAACGAUGAACACUAGGUGUCGGGGGAAUCGACCCCUCCGGUGUCGUAGCCAACGC
This 489-nucleotide ribosomal RNA is filed under the name uncultured Synechococcus sp. RNAcentral describes it as "bacterial SSU rRNA". Lineage: Bacteria; Bacillati; Cyanobacteriota; Cyanophyceae; Synechococcales; Synechococcaceae. The record is from RNAcentral.